Molecule: non-coding RNA, 125 nt
Organism: Triticum aestivum (bread wheat)
Lineage: Eukaryota; Viridiplantae; Streptophyta; Magnoliopsida; Poales; Poaceae
Source: Rfam
AUAGUACUCUCUCCGUCCGGAAAUACUUGUCAUAGAAAUGGAUACAAGUGAGUGUAUUUAGAACUAAAAUACAUCUAGACACAUUCAUUCCUUAGACAAGUAUUUCCGGACGGAGGGAGUAUAAA